GUGACGACAUUUUUCCUUCUUGCAUCUUAAAACAAAAUCUUUACCAGUUCUAUGAAUAUUGUCUCAUAUUGGUAUAUUUGUGAAGAAGGUUUUAGAAAUCAAAGUAUGAUAUUUUAUUACCUUUACAAGAGUAUUUUUGGCAGCUGCAUUUUGAAAAUGCAUAAUAUGUACGCAUAUAAGAAGGCAUUUUGGGAGUUUUAAGCAAAUAGCUGACGCAGAG
Molecule: unclassified non-coding RNA, 220 nt
Filed under: Hevea brasiliensis (rubber tree)
Lineage: Eukaryota; Viridiplantae; Streptophyta; Magnoliopsida; Malpighiales; Euphorbiaceae
Source: RNAcentral